AGCCGAUGAAGGACGUGUGAAUCUGCGAUAAGCCUCGGGGAGCCGAUAACUGGGCGUUGAUCCGAGGAUGUCCGAAUGGGGAAACCUUGCUCAUUGUUAUGGUGAGUGACCGCUGGUUGAAUGUAUAGGCCAGUUGGGGGGAACGCGGGGAAGUGAAACAUCUCAGUACCCGCAGGAAGAGAAAAUAAUAAUGAUUCUGUUAGUAGUGGCGAGCGAACGCGGAUGAGGCUAAACCUGUGGUGUGUGAUAGCGGUUAGGUGUUGCAUCAUGGGUGUUGUGGGAGUUGUUGUGGUGGUUCUAACUGGUCACCGGCGUAGUGCAUGAUGGUAGGCGAACUGGCUUGGAAUGGUCGACCGUAGUGGGUGAGAGUCCCGUAGUUGAAAGUGUUGUGUGUGCGUUGACAAUGUCCCGAGUAGCACGGGGCUCGUGGAAUCUCGUGUGAAUCUGCCAGGACCACCUGGUAAGUCUAAAUACUUCCUGAUGACCGAUAGUGGAUCAGUACCGUGAGGGAAUGGUGAAAAGUACCCCGGGAGGGGAGUGAAAUAGUACCUGAAACCGUGUGCUUACAAGCCGUUAUAGCCCCCCUUUUGUGUGGGGUGGUGGCGUGCCUUUUGAAGAAUGAGCCUGCGAGUUAGUGUUUUGUCGCGAGGUUAACCCGUGUGGGGUAGUCGUAGCGAAAGCGAGUCUGAAUAGGGCGUUGUAGUGGCAGGAUCUAGACCCGAAGCGGAGUGAUCUAUCCAUGGCCAGGUUGAAGCACGUGUAAGAGCGUGUGGAGGACCGAACCCACCUAGGUUGAAAACUGGGGGGAUGAGCUGUGGAUAGGGGUGAAAGGCCAAUCAAACUCUGUGAUAGCUGGUUCUCCCCGAAAUGCAUUUAGGUGCAGCGUUACAUGUUUCUUGCUGGAGGUAGAGCUACUGGAUGGCCGAUGGGCCCGCGAGGGUUACUGACGUUAGCUAAACUCCGAAUGCCGGUAAGUGAGAGUGUAGCAGUGAGACAGUGGGGGAUAAGCUUCAUUGUCGAGAGGGAAACAGCCCAGACCAUCAACUAAGGCCCCUAAGCGUGUGCUAAGUGGGAAAGGAUGUGGAGUUGCUGAGACAACCAGGAGGUUGGCUUAGAAGCAGCCAUCCUUGAAAGAGUGCGUAAUAGCUCACUGGUCAAGUGAUUCUGCGCCGAUAAUGUAGCGGGGCUCAAGUACACCGCCGAAGUUGUGGCAAUCAGUCCUUGUGGCUGGUUGGGUAGGGGAGCGUCCUGCAUGAGGUGAAGCUGCCACGGGAGUGUGUGGUGGAUUGUGUGGGAGUGAGAAUGCAGGCAUGAGUAGCGAAUCACGGGUGAGAAACCCGUGCGCCGGAUGAUCAAGGGUUCCAGGGUCAAGUUAAUCUGCCCUGGGUUAGUCGGGGCCUAAGGCGAGGCCGACAGGCGUAGUCGAUGGAUAACGGGUUGAUAUUCCCGUACCAGUGAAGAACCGUCCAUACUGAUAUUGUGAUGCUAACCAUGCCGAACACGGUGUCAUGAAGUUUUCUUUGUGGUGUUGUGGGGUGUGUGGGACCCAGGCUUUGGAGGUAAGCGUGUUAACAGGUGUGACGCAGGAAGGUAGCCAAGCCACGCGGUGGUUGUCGUGGUCUAAGCGUGUAGGAUGACUGGUUGUUAAAUGCGCCGGUUGUGUGUCUGAGACGUGAUGGGACCCCUUGUUUGUGGGGGAUUUGGUGAUCCUAUGCUGCCGAGAAAAGCAUCGGCGUGAGGUUUUAGCUGCCCGUACCCGAAACCGACACAGGUGAUCAGGUAGAGAAUACUAAGGCGAUCGAGAGAAUCAUGGUUAAGGAACUCGGCAAAAUGCCCCCGUAACUUCGGGAGAAGGGGGGCCCUGAGCGUGAUCUGCCCGUGCGGUGGGGAGCGUGUAGGGGUCGCAGAGACCAGGGGGAAGCGACUGUUUAUCAAAAACACAGGUCCGUGCGAAGUCGUAAGACGAGGUAUACGGACUGACUCCUGCCCGGUGCUGGAAGGUUAAGAGGAUUGGUUAGCCCUGUGUGGGCGAAGCUGAGAAUUUAAGCCCCAGUAAACGGCGGUGGUAACUAUAACCAUCCUAAGGUAGCGAAAUUCCUUGUCGGGUAAGUUCCGACCUGCACGAAUGGAGUAACGACUUCCCUACUGUCUCAACCAUGAACUCGGUGAAAUUGCAGUACGAGUAAAGAUGCUCGUUUCGCGCAGCAGGACGGAAAGACCCCGUGACCUUUACUAUAGUUUGGUAUUGGUGUUUGGGUUGGCUUGUGUAGGAUAGGUGGGAGACUGUGAAGCCGUCACGCUAGUGGUGGUGGAGUCGUUGUUGAAAUACCACUCUGGUCAAUCUGGAUGUCUAACUUCGGGCCAUGAUCUGGUUCAGGGACAGUGCCUGAUGGGUAGUUUAACUGGGGCGGUUGCCUCCUAAAGUGUAACGGAGGCGCCCAAAGGUUCCCUCAGCCUGGUUGGCAAUCAGGUGUUGAGUG
RNAcentral lists this ribosomal RNA (2480 nucleotides) under human metagenome. Its description in RNAcentral is "bacterial LSU rRNA". It matches the Rfam family "Bacterial large subunit ribosomal RNA", at positions 44 to 2351 of the family's 2925-position model. The record is from RNAcentral.